GUCGUGUGAACGACAGCCAAUCAGCGCUGUCGCUGGGGCUGAAUCAACCAAUCAGCGGCCUCGCCGCGUAAGGGGGCGUGGCCUCGCUGCCGUGAGGGGGAGGUGGCGGCCGCCAUGUUAGAGGCAGCUGAGGGCGAGCGGGUGGGGGACGUAUGGAGGCUGUAGGGGCUCUAUAGGGGUGAUUUGGGGGGUCUGGAGGGUUCAAAAUGGGUCUGGGGACUUCUAAAAAGGGUUCUCAGGGGGGUUAGGGGGGAUUGGAAGGGGUAUAGAAUAAAAGGGGGGGUGCAUGAUGGGGUGGGGGGUAUAGGGGAUGUAUAGGGGCGGUAUAGGGAGGGUAUAGGGGAUAUUUGAGGGGGAUUCAAGGGGUUUUUGGAACGUAUGGAGGGUGUAGGGGUGGGUUCAAGGGGAGUUGGGGUGGUUUAUGGGGUGUAUGGCAUCUAUAGGGGAUCUAUAGGGGAGGUUUGGGGGGGAUAUUGGGAAUAUCCGGAGUGGUUUCUGGGGGGGGGGUUUGACGGCACCUAUGGAGGGUGCGGGGUGGGAUCUAUAGGGGGCGAUUUGGGGAAAAAAUCCGGAGUGGUUUCUGGGGAUAUCCGGAACCUAUGGGGGCUAUAGGGGAUUUUGGUGGGGGGGGGAGGAUUUGGGCCCUAUAUGGGACCUAUGGGGGUCUAUAGGGGGAGUUGGGGGUCCUAUGGGGGCUAUAGGGAACAUUUGGGAGGGUCUGGGGGUCUAUAGGGGAUUUUGGGGGGGUAUAAAACCCUAUAGGGGCUCUUUGUGGGGGUGGGGUUGGGGACCUAUGGGAUCUAUAUGGGAAUUUGGGGAGGGGUCUGGGGGGAAUGUUCGGGACCUAUGGAAUCUAUAGGGGGAGUUUGGUGAUUUUGGGGGGGGGGUUUAGAGGACAUUUGGACCCUAUAGGGGCUCUAUAGGUGCUGCUCUGGGAGGGUCUCUGUGUGUGGGGGAUUCUAUAGGGGAUCUAUAGGGGAUUCCAUGGGGGAUUCCAUGGGAUUCCGUGGGGAUCUAUAGGGGAUCUGUGGGGAUUUCAUUGCUGAUCUAUAGGGGAUUCCAUUGCUGAUCUAUAGGGGAUUCUAUAGGGGAUCCAUAGGGGUUCUGUGGGGAUUCUGUGGGUGAUCCCUU
This 1131-nucleotide long non-coding RNA is filed under the name Catharus ustulatus (Swainson's thrush). Its description in RNAcentral is "lncRNA (ENSCUSG00005009293.1)". Lineage: Eukaryota; Metazoa; Chordata; Aves; Passeriformes; Turdidae. The record is from RNAcentral.